Molecule: microRNA precursor, 131 nt
Organism: Sorghum bicolor (sorghum)
Lineage: Eukaryota; Viridiplantae; Streptophyta; Magnoliopsida; Poales; Poaceae
Source: Rfam
GCAAUAUGGGCCACUCAGGCUAGCCAAGGAGACUGCCUAUGAACCAUCUAUCUCAAAGGCUCACAUUUCUGAUCCUUCGGCACAAAGGACACAGGCAAGUCAUCCUUGGCUAUCAGAGGCAGGCCCUUAUC